This 399-nucleotide ribosomal RNA is filed under the name uncultured bacterium. Its description in RNAcentral is "partial 16S ribosomal RNA". It matches the Rfam family "Bacterial small subunit ribosomal RNA", at positions 338 to 734 of the family's 1533-position model. The record is from RNAcentral.
CCUACGGGAGGCAGCAGUGAGGAAUAUUGGACAAUGGACGAGAGUCUGAACCAGCCAAGUAGCGUGAAGGAAGACUGCCCUAUGGGUUGUAAACAUUUUUUAUAUGGGAAUAAAAUGUUACAUGAGUAGGAUCUUGUAUGUACCAUAUGAAUAAGGAUCGGCUAAGUCCGUGCCAGCCGCCGCGGUAAUACAGUGGGUCCGAGCGUUACCCGGAUUUAAUGGGUUUAAAGGGAACGUAGGUGGUUUGUUAAGUCAGUUGUGAAAGUUAGUGGCUCAACCGUAAAAUUGCAGUUGAAACUGGCAGUCUUGAGUACAGUAGAGGUGGGCAGAAUUCGUGGUGUAGCGGUGAAAUGCGUAGAGAUCUGGAAGAACUCCGGUGGCGAAGGCGGCUCACUGGAC